RNAcentral lists this ribosomal RNA (468 nucleotides) under uncultured bacterium. RNAcentral describes it as "partial 16S ribosomal RNA". It matches the Rfam family "Bacterial small subunit ribosomal RNA", at positions 28 to 507 of the family's 1533-position model. The record is from RNAcentral.
GACGAACGCUGGCGGCGUGCUUAACACAUGCAAGUCGAACGGAAAGGCCCUGCUCUUGUGGGGUGCUCAAGUGGCGAAAGGGUGAGUAACACGUGAGUAACCUGCCCUUGACUUUGGGAUAACUUCAGUAAACUGGGGCUAAUACCGGAUAGGAGCUCCUGCUGCAUGGUGGGGGUUGGAAAGUUUCGGCGGUUGGGGAUGGACUCGCGGCUUAUCAGCGUGUUGGUGGGGUAGUGGCUUACCAAGGCUUUGACGGGUAGCCGGCCUGAGAGGGUGACCGGCCACAUUGGGACUGAGAUACGGCCCAGACUCCUACGGGAGGCAGCAGUGGGGAAUAUUGCACAAUGGGCGGAAGCCUGAUGCAGCAACGCCGCGUGCGGGAUGACGGCCUUCGGGUUGUAACCCGCUUUCGCCUGUGACGAAGCGUGAGUGACGGUAAUGGGUAAAGAAGCACCGGCUAACUACGUG